AUCAUGGUCUUUUUAAAGACCAUAAAAUAUUGAAGAAAUACAGGCCU
Mesitornis unicolor (brown roatelo) is the source of this 47-nucleotide non-coding RNA. The record is from Rfam. Lineage: Eukaryota; Metazoa; Chordata; Aves; Mesitornithiformes; Mesitornithidae.